Molecule: ribosomal RNA, 387 nt
Filed under: Nasutitermes voeltzkowi
Lineage: Eukaryota; Metazoa; Arthropoda; Insecta; Blattodea; Termitidae
Description: partial 16S ribosomal RNA
Source: RNAcentral
CUUUUCUUGUUAGUUUUUGAAGUAUGGCCUGCCCACUGACUUGGAGUUGAAGGGCCGCGGUAUUUUGACCGUGCAAAGGUAGCAUAAUCAUUAGUUCUUUAAUUGUGAUCUGGUAUGAAUGGCUUGACGAGACAUAAGCUGUCUUGGGGGUAUUGGUUUAUUGAAUUUGGUUUUUGAGUUAAAAUUCUUAGAUGUUUUUAUGGGACGAGAAGACCCUAUAGAGUUUGACAAUUUUCUUAUUUAUUCAUUGUUUGUUUUAUUUACAUUGAGUGGGAAUAUAUUGUUUUGUUGGGGUGAUGGGAGGAAUAUUAUUUAACUCCUCUUUGUUUUUAUAUAUUUAUUUAUAUAUUUUUGAUCCAUUUAUUUUGAUUAUAAGAUUAAAUUACC